This is a transfer RNA of 78 nucleotides. It matches the Rfam family "tRNA". From Rfam's summary of the family: Transfer RNA (tRNA) molecules are approximately 80 nucleotides in length. Their secondary structure includes four short double-helical elements and three loops (D, anti-codon, and T loops).
GGGCCCGUAGCUCAGCCAGGUCAGAGCGGCGGGCUCAUAACCCGUUGGUCGUGGGUUCAAAUCCCACCGGGCCCACCA